RNAcentral lists this ribosomal RNA (704 nucleotides) under uncultured bacterium. RNAcentral's name for it is "bacterial SSU rRNA". It matches the Rfam family "Bacterial small subunit ribosomal RNA", at positions 56 to 755 of the family's 1533-position model. The record is from RNAcentral.
UGCAGGUCGAACGGCAGCACGGACUUCGGUCUGGUGGCGAGUGGCGAACGGGUGAGUAAUGUAUCGGAACGCGCCUAGUAGCGGGGGAUAACUACGCGAAAGCGUAGCUAAUACCGCAUACGCCCUACGGGGGAAAGCAGGGGAUCGUAAGACCUUGCACUAUUAGAGCGGCCGAUAUCGGAUUAGCUAGUUGGUGGGGUAACGGCUCACCAAGGCGACGAUCCGUAGCUGGUUUGAGAGGACGACCAGCCACACUGGGACUGAGACACGGCCCAGACUCCUACGGGAGGCAGCAGUGGGGAACUUUGGACAAUGGGGGAAACCCUGAUCCAGCCAUCCCGCGUGUGCGAUGAAGGCCUUCGGGUUGUAAAGCACUUUUGGCAGGAAAGAAACGUCAUGGGUUAAUACCCCGUGAAACUGACGGUACCUGCAGAAUAAGCACCGGCUAACUACGUGCCAGCAGCCGCGGUAAUACGUAGGGUGCAAGCGUUAAUCGGAAUUACUGGGCGUAAAGCGUGCGCAGGCGGUUCGGAAAGAAAGAUGUGAAAUCCCAGAGCUUAACUUUGGAACUGCAUUUUUAACUACCGGGCUAGAGUGUGUCAGAGGGAGGUGGAAUUCCGCGUGUAGCAGUGAAAUGCGUAGAUAUGCGGAGGAACACCGAUGGCGAAGGCAGCCUCCUGGGAUAACACUGACGCUCAUGCACG